AUGCAGGAUCAUACACAAUAAGAAGGCGGGCUGGAUACCCCCAGAGGUGCAUCGCUUCACGGCGUGCGCAGCUGGGCCGGCCUUGCUGAAUUAUUCACCCGUGUCUUUUGCGUACUUGCUGUUUCCCUGGGCGGGGCUCGCCCGGCCCGUCAGGACAAACCAUAAAACCUUUUUGGCAAAUUAAGCCAAAUCCAAGGGGUUCAGGUACCCAAUUGUUCAUUAACAUUUACAACGUUUUCAACCAACCGGGAAUUCUCCUUGGGUCCUUGGCAUUCCAUAAAAGAACCGCCAGCCGAAAAAUGCGAAUUAACGUAUGUGGUGGCAUUGGCCGGAACUUCAGGUGAAUUCAUUCGACUUCUUUGGAACCGCAACAUUAAGCGCCGCUUGGGUAAUUCGCAAGGGGCAAUGCCUCGUACAGAGCGGUCAUUUGGUACCCCUUCAAGGCUUUAGCUUGGUCGUUGGGGCGUCUUGAUCUCCCCGUUUGGCGGGAGACUCGGCCUAAAAGUCAUUGGCCGCCGGCCUACUGGUUUCGGAGCGCAGCACAAGUUGGCGCUCUCUUCCAGCCAAGGGUCAGCGUCCAGUAAGCCUUUUUUCAACCUUUGACCUCGGAUCAGUAAGGAUACCCGCUGACUUAAGCAUAUCAAUAAGCGGAGGAAAAGAAACCAACAGGGAUUGCCCUAGUAACGGCGAGUGAAGC
RNAcentral lists this ribosomal RNA (697 nucleotides) under uncultured Alternaria. RNAcentral's name for it is "eukaryotic LSU rRNA". The stretch from base 601 to 697 matches the Rfam family "Eukaryotic large subunit ribosomal RNA", at positions 1 to 99 of the family's 3401-position model. The record is from RNAcentral. Lineage: Eukaryota; Fungi; Ascomycota; Dothideomycetes; Pleosporales; Pleosporaceae.